Non-coding RNA from Doryrhamphus excisus (bluestripe pipefish), 898 nucleotides. The record is from RefSeq and is a predicted model, not a curated record. Lineage: Eukaryota; Metazoa; Chordata; Actinopteri; Syngnathiformes; Syngnathidae.
UGCUGGGUUAUUUUUUUGACCCAAUCGCUGGGUUGAGCCUGUUGGGUCAUUUAAUUGGGUUAUUUUUAAUUGAGUUGGGUAUUCUGAGAACCCAAUUCGCUGGGUUAUUUCUGUUGGGUGCUGAGUUAUUUGCUGCUGGGUUGUGAUUUCCAUUAUAUUGUGCUGGGUUAUUUUGGACAACACAAAGCGUUGGGUAGAAUUUUGAACACGAGCAACAAAGCCCCGCCCACAAACUUACUUCGUUCGGACCCCACAUUUCAUCUGAGGAGACGAAUUUCAGCACGGAGCAAGUUCGCUGGAAAGCAUCUAUGGAUGAGUUUGUCAGUUCCAAAUUUGACUGAGUGGCAGCUACCGGGGCUGAUUGAAAGAUGCCAGGGGAGAAGUCGCCCUGACGCUGCUGCCCAUCCUGCUCCCUCCGCCUGUGUUUAAAAAGGGCUGGAAAUUGGUCCGGGAUAGUAUUCAGGAGUCAAAGAGAGCCUUCAUCGAUGUUAAGCUGGUCAGAGCUAACAUGGUGGAAUCACCUACUCGGUUGUGCUGCUGCUCACAGAGCCUCUUGUUCUAUGUAUAUAUCACUCUCUCAUAGCUGUCCCCCUCACCCGUUCUUAAAAUGUUAUUUUUUUGUACAUAAUUUGUUCAUAUGUGAAGGAAAUGUUGUGAGUUGUUAUAUUUUUAUGUUCUGGAAAUGUUGAAUUUUAAUAAAAAUUUUAUUGUUACAUUGGUGUCAUUAUUGUAAUAUAUUAUUAAUAGUAUUAGCAUACAAUAAAAAAAUAAAAAAUAAAUAAAUAAAUAUAUAUAUAUAUGGUAUAUUGGCAACCCAACUUGCUGGGUUGAAAUAACCCAGCCGUGUAGUAAAUAUGAACCCAGCGUUGGGUCAUAUGAACAACCCAAUGUACAACCC